GCUUGUUAAAAUGCAGAUCCCCUGGCCCUCGGUGGGCAGGGCUCAAGCUGCUGCCUUUAAAGGAAUCUCACACCGCUGGGCAGGCAGUUUCUCUCCGGAACACAAACCUUUCUCUGUCAUUCUGCCUCCUUCUGGCUCUAAAAUUCUCCGCUCACUGAAAGUCCCCCAUCCUUUUCAGUCAUCUCUUCCCGGAUCUCUGCAGCCUCCAAUCCCCUCCCCGAGCUAAUCUCACCUUCUCAAUGAGCUAAUCCCACCGUCUAGAUGAGCUAAUCCCACCUUCUCGGUGUCACCAUGUCACUGUUUACCCUCUCCAGGGGCCUUUAGGUCAAGCUGGGGGAAAUGAGUCAUCCCCUCCAGUGGGGGAGGGGGCUUCAAGUCCAUAAAUGGGCAAAAGCUCUGAUUUCAGCUUUCUGUCCUCAGGAAAGGACCAGUCUCUCCCCUCCAUCAUCCUCCUCCCCCCUCCCCAGAGGAAUUCCCCAGAGACAAGGAAGGCGUGGGGUGGGGAGGCUGGUGUUGACCAAUGGAAUUCGAGAAAUAGUCCAGCUUUUUAGGGAGAUAGGUUCCAGUUUGACUCAGCUUCCCUGAUAAACAGACGCUGCCGGCCAGGAUUUUCCCAGCCCACGAGGCCAAAGGCCCAUUUCCGGGUGGAAGUGUUCAGCUCUGCCUUUGGAGUUGAGGGCCCAGCCAGCACCACCCCUCCCUACACAUCCCUGCUUUCUCCUCAUGACCAGAAUGCCAGGCUGCACUGACCGGGGCUGGGGGGUGGGGGGGAGUGGGCUCUGCACUGCGAGGCCUCUGGACUCAGUUACUGUCUCGGGAUUGGCCACACUCCCCACCUGGAAGCUGGGGGGAGAGGGUGCCAUGACCUUUCACAGCUCCCCGUCGGACGCUGCAUCACCCUCCUCGCUUGGCCUGCAGUGUCUCUCAGGCUUCCUGACCCCCGCCUGUGAUCACCGCUGUGUCCGCCAAGCAGGUGCCGUGGAAAAUACAGAAGCAAUAAAGGGAUGGUCCCCUCCCUGAAGGAAUUCCUAUAUGACGAAGUUGAAGCCAUAAAGGGACACCUACGGGGUGAUGAGAGAGACAGCCGGAGAGAGAGGGAACACAGCAGGGGGAGUGGGAGAGGAAGAAGCAG
Ailuropoda melanoleuca (giant panda) is the source of this 1132-nucleotide long non-coding RNA. RefSeq lists it as uncharacterized. The transcript has 3 exons. The record is from RefSeq and is a predicted model, not a curated record. Lineage: Eukaryota; Metazoa; Chordata; Mammalia; Carnivora; Ursidae.